Molecule: ribosomal RNA, 491 nt
Filed under: uncultured bacterium
Lineage: Bacteria
Description: partial 16S ribosomal RNA
Rfam family: Bacterial small subunit ribosomal RNA
Source: RNAcentral
AGUGAACGCUGGCGGUAGGCCUAACACAUGCAAGUCGAACGGCAGCACAGUAAGAGCUUGCUCUUACGGGUGGCGAGUGGCGGACGGGUGAGGAAUACAUCGGAAUCUACUUUUUCGUGGGGGAUAACGUAGGGAAACUUACGCUAAUACCGCAUACGACCUACGGGUGAAAGCAGGGGAUCUUCGGACCUUGCGCGAUUGAAUGAGCCGAUGUCGGAUUAGCUAGUUGGCGGGGUAAAGGCCCACCAAGGCGACGAUCCGUAGCUGGUCUGAGAGGAUGAUCAGCCACACUGGAACUGAGACACGGUCCAGACACCUACGGGAGGCAGCGGGGGGGAAUAUUGGACAAUGGGCGCAAGCCUGAUCCAGCCAUACCGCGUGGGUGAAGAAGGCCUUCGGGUUGUAAAGCCCUUUUGUUGGGAAAGAAAAGCAGCAGGUUAAUACCCCGCUGUUCUGACGGUACCCAAAGAAUAAGCACCGGCUAACUUCGU